UACAGAGGGUGCGAGCGUUAAUCGGAAUUACUGGGCGUAAAGCGCGCGUAGGCGGCUUUGCAAGUCGGGUGUGAAAUCCCCAGGCUUAACCUGGGAACUGCAUUCGAGACUGCAUUGCUAGAGUAUGGGAGAGGGAAGUGGAAUUUCCGGUGUAGCGGUGAAAUGCGUAGAUAUCGGAAGGAACAUCGGUGGCGAAAGCGACUUCCUGGACCAAUACUGACGCUCAUGUGCGAAAGCGUGGGGAGCAAACAGG
Molecule: ribosomal RNA, 253 nt
Filed under: uncultured bacterium
Lineage: Bacteria
Description: partial 16S ribosomal RNA
Rfam family: Bacterial small subunit ribosomal RNA
Source: RNAcentral